Small nucleolar RNA from Hypomesus transpacificus, 129 nucleotides. RefSeq annotates it as small nucleolar RNA SNORA63. Lineage: Eukaryota; Metazoa; Chordata; Actinopteri; Osmeriformes; Osmeridae. The transcript has a single exon. The record is from RefSeq and is a predicted model, not a curated record.
UUGCAGGAUAAGUUACAGAGCAGCUUGUGUAGUGCUGUACUGUCGUUCCCCCUGCACACAGUAACCUGUUACCUACUAUCCCUGUCUGUCUCUAUCCCACGGCUGGCAGGGACGCUUGGUCUCAGACAC